Molecule: signal recognition particle RNA, 98 nt
Filed under: Paralysiella testudinis
Lineage: Bacteria; Pseudomonadati; Pseudomonadota; Betaproteobacteria; Neisseriales; Neisseriaceae
Description: Bacterial small signal recognition particle RNA
Rfam family: Bacterial small signal recognition particle RNA
About the family: The signal recognition particle (SRP) is a universally conserved ribonucleoprotein involved in the co-translational targeting of proteins to membranes. Archaeal SRP consists of a 7S RNA and homologues of the eukaryotic SRP19 and SRP54 proteins.
Source: Rfam by way of RNAcentral
GGCGGGUCUCCCCGCAUGGUUAUCCGGAGCAACGGGUCAGGCGCGGAAGCGAGCAGCCCACUCUGGUGUUGCCAGUGCCGGGGGUUUGGCUCGCCACC